This 76-nucleotide transfer RNA is filed under the name Alphaproteobacteria bacterium. RNAcentral's name for it is "tRNA-Trp". It matches the Rfam family "tRNA". Rfam says of the family: Transfer RNA (tRNA) molecules are approximately 80 nucleotides in length. Their secondary structure includes four short double-helical elements and three loops (D, anti-codon, and T loops). The record is from RNAcentral. Lineage: Bacteria; Pseudomonadati; Pseudomonadota; Alphaproteobacteria.
AGGGGUGUAGCUCAGUUGGUAGAGCGGCGGUCUCCAAAACCGCAGGCCGAGGGUUCGAAGCCUUCCGCCCCUGCCA